CACCCUGCUGCCUCAAAGAUUGGUGUUACCAGUACUUGUGCAAUGGAGAGCUGUAGAUUGAAAACAUUAUGAAAGAGGAUGUCUGUGAUGUUCAUUAUACUUCUGUCCCUCAGGUUGAGUCGGCCGCAGAAGAUAAAAAGACAGAAAUCACUUAUGAAAUUUUGAGCUGUGGCUAUCAUGGAACUGUUAAUAUUUAAAAGAAAGAAGAAAUUGUUCGUUGGUGCCUCUUCCCUCCCAGCUUCGUGAUGGUCUAAAACUUCAUGGUCGUACUGAUCUACUGAGCCAGUACCCAAACAUCUGCCAAUCAGUGUUUGUCCCUGGGGUGGAAGUUAAGGUGAGUAAAUGUUGACUUUAGUAGGGAUACCACUUGUAAUUGUGAAUAGUGGUUCCAAGUACUCUUACCUUUACUUUUUAUAGACUGUAAGUCCCAUAGUAGAGUAUGUAAUUAAUGGUGGGACUGGAAAAAGAAUAUUCAAAAUGGUCUGAAGUUGCAUACAUAACAUACAUCUAAUCUAAUUUGUCAAGUUAAGAAACCCACAUUA
This is a long non-coding RNA of Oreochromis aureus, 542 nucleotides long. RefSeq lists it as uncharacterized. The record is from RefSeq and is a predicted model, not a curated record. The transcript has 3 exons. Lineage: Eukaryota; Metazoa; Chordata; Actinopteri; Cichliformes; Cichlidae.